RNAcentral lists this ribosomal RNA (232 nucleotides) under uncultured Methanosaeta sp. Its description in RNAcentral is "partial 16S ribosomal RNA". It matches the Rfam family "Archaeal small subunit ribosomal RNA", at positions 216 to 448 of the family's 1478-position model. The record is from RNAcentral. Lineage: Archaea; Methanobacteriati; Methanobacteriota; Methanomicrobia; Methanotrichales; Methanotrichaceae.
UGCGGCCUAUCAGGUAGUUGUGGGUGUAACGUACCUACUAGCCUACGACCGGUACGGGUUGUGAGAGCAAGAGCCCGGAGAUGGAUUCUGAGACACGGAUCCAGGCCCUACGGGGUGCAGCAGGCGCGAAAACUUUACAAUGCUGGCAAUCGCGACGGGGGGACCCCAAGUGCCACGUUUAACAUCUGGCUGUUUCGAUGCCGAAAAAACCUUUCGGAAUAAGGGCCGGGCA